This 253-nucleotide ribosomal RNA is filed under the name uncultured bacterium. RNAcentral describes it as "partial 16S ribosomal RNA". It matches the Rfam family "Bacterial small subunit ribosomal RNA", at positions 524 to 776 of the family's 1533-position model. The record is from RNAcentral.
UACGAAGGGGGCUAGCGUUGUUCGGAAUCACUGGGCGUAAAGGGCGCGUAGGCGGCCGAUCAAGUCGGGGGUGAAAGCCUGUGGCUCAACCACAGAAUUGCCUUCGAUACUGUUUGGCUUGAGACCGGAAGAGGUUAGUGGAACUGCGAGUGUAGAGGUGAAAUUCGUAGAUAUUCGCAAGAACACCAGUGGCGAAGGCGGCUGACUGGUCCGGUUCUGACGCUGAGGCGCGAAAGCGUGGGGAGUAAACAGG